This 459-nucleotide ribosomal RNA is filed under the name Theileria orientalis. Its description in RNAcentral is "SSU rRNA". It matches the Rfam family "Eukaryotic small subunit ribosomal RNA", at positions 486 to 984 of the family's 1831-position model. Lineage: Eukaryota; Apicomplexa; Aconoidasida; Piroplasmida; Theileriidae. The record is from RNAcentral.
CGGGGCUUAAUGUCUUGUAAUUGGAAUGAUGGGAAUUUAAACCUCUUCCAGAGUAUCAAUUGGAGGGCAAGUCUGGUGCCAGCAGCCGCGGUAAUUCCAGCUCCAAUAGCGUAUAUUAAAUUUGUUGCAGUUAAAAAGCUCGUAGUUGAAUUUCUGCUGCAUUACAUUUCUCUUGUUUGAGUUUGUUAUUGUGGCUUAUUUCGGAUUGAUUUUUAUCUUUCCGGAUGAUUACUUUGAGAAAAUUAGAGUGCUCAAAGCAGGCUUUUGCCUUGAAUACUUUAGCAUGGAAUAAUAGAGUAGGACUUUGGUUCUAUUUUGUUGGUUUUAGGUACCAAAGUAAUGGUUAAUAGGAACAGUUGGGGGCAUUCGUAUUUAACUGUCAGAGGUGAAAUUCUUAGAUUUGUUAAAGACGAACUACUGCGAAAGCAUUUGCCAAGGAUGUUUUCAUUAAUCAAGAAC